CUGGGUUUAAAGGGUACGUAGGCGGUUGUGCCAAGUCUGGGGUGAAAGUUUGCAGCUCAACUGUAAAAAUUGCCUUGGAUACUGGUCGGCUAGAGUAGUGGAGCGGUGGCUGGAAUUUAUAGUGUAGCGGUGAAAUGCUUAGAUACUAUGAGGAACACCAAUUGCGAAGGCAGGUCACUGGUCACUAACUGACGCUGAGGUACGAAAGUGUGGGGAUCAAACAGGAUUAGAUACCCUGGUAG
Molecule: ribosomal RNA, 242 nt
Filed under: uncultured bacterium
Lineage: Bacteria
Description: partial 16S ribosomal RNA
Rfam family: Bacterial small subunit ribosomal RNA
Source: RNAcentral